GUGGUACGCGAGCUGGGUUUAGAACGUCGUGAGACAGUUCGGUCCCUAUCUGCCGUGGGCGCUGGAGAACUGAGGGGGGCUGCUCCUAGUACGAGAGGACCGGAGUGGACGCAUCACUGGUGUUCGGGUUGUCAUGCCAAUGGCACUGCCCGGUAGCUAAAUGCGGAAGAGAUAAGUGCUGAAAGCAUCUAAGCACGAAACUUGCCCCGAGAUGAGUUCUCCCUGAGACUUAAAGUCUCCUGAAGGAACGUUGAAGACGACGACGUUGAUAGGCCGGGUGUGUAAGCGCAGCGAUGCGUUGAGCUAACCGGUACUAAUGAACCGUGAGGCUUAACCUU
This 338-nucleotide ribosomal RNA is filed under the name Salmonella enterica subsp. enterica serovar Senftenberg. RNAcentral describes it as "partial 23S ribosomal RNA". It matches the Rfam family "Bacterial large subunit ribosomal RNA", at positions 2593 to 2925 of the family's 2925-position model. The record is from RNAcentral. RNAcentral also lists the same sequence under 1 other name. Lineage: Bacteria; Pseudomonadati; Pseudomonadota; Gammaproteobacteria; Enterobacterales; Enterobacteriaceae.